CAUCGAUGCACCGGAGAGACAACUUCUGGUUACAGAAAACCAACAGACCAAUCUGCUUCGCAUGCAAGUCGGAGAACUACGUCACCUCUCAGCCAUCUCUACCUCCAGGGCAUCCUUGCCUCUGCCUUCAUGAUCUGAUGAUCUCCUGGAAGUGAGUUCCAAGGUGUCUUCAAUGAAAUAGCGGCAGUCACUCUUCUACCACAUUAUCCAUGGUAAUGUGCCAUUCAGUGCUUCACGGAACCUUUCCUCCGUGUGGCUGGGUCUUUCCAUCGCUCCUCCCCGAAUCAGAGGCUAUGGACCAGUAUACUGAAGAAGCCCAUAACUUGGUAAUUAUUGUUACCAUCUAUUUCUCAAGCUGCUUCAAGUUUCAUCUUCGUGAAAAAGAAGGAUGGCAGCCUUGUAUCAACUACCAAGCUCUAAGUGACAUCACCAUUAGGUCUGCCGCUUCCUUCUCCUGAUCCAUCCAACGCUGAAAGGCAUCAACACCGCAGCCAUCUUUAAAAAGUUAAAGAUUUGAAGAGUUUGUAACCUCAUCAGAAUUUGUGAGGGGGAUGAAUGGAAGGCAGUUUUCAUCACAUCCAGGGGGAACUACGAAUGUCAGAUUAUGCCAUAUGGACUUGCAAACGCCCCCACAAUGUUCCAAUAUUUUAUUGACGAGAUCUACAGAGUCAUGGUGAACGAAUGUCUUAUUGUAUUUAUUGUAUAUAUUAAUGACUCAUUUACUCCCCCUCUUGACUCUCAAGAGUUAAGUAAUCUAAGUCCAUCAGAGACCUCUACACUAAAACCAAGAUGUGCAAGUUUCAUAAAUUGUCGAUCUCUUUUCUGCGAUGUGUUACUGGGUGAGACUGCGUAGUUGCAAAUAAAAUAUCUGAUAUUCA
Long non-coding RNA from Brienomyrus brachyistius, 878 nucleotides. RefSeq lists it as uncharacterized. The transcript is spliced from 2 exons. The record is from RefSeq and is a predicted model, not a curated record. NCBI's taxonomy places the organism in Eukaryota, Metazoa, Chordata, Actinopteri, Osteoglossiformes, Mormyridae.